This 258-nucleotide ribosomal RNA is filed under the name Bacillus wiedmannii. RNAcentral's name for it is "partial 16S ribosomal RNA". It matches the Rfam family "Bacterial small subunit ribosomal RNA", at positions 523 to 780 of the family's 1533-position model. The record is from RNAcentral. Lineage: Bacteria; Bacillati; Bacillota; Bacilli; Caryophanales; Bacillaceae.
AUACGUAGGUGGCAAGCGUUAUCCGGAAUUAUUGGGCGUAAAGCGCGCGCAGGUGGUUUCUUAAGUCUGAUGUGAAAGCCCACGGCUCAACCGUGGAGGGUCAUUGGAAACUGGGAGACUUGAGUGCAGAAGAGGAAAGUGGAAUUCCAUGUGUAGCGGUGAAAUGCGUAGAGAUAUGGAGGAACACCAGUGGCGAAGGCGACUUUCUGGUCUGUAACUGACACUGAGGCGCGAAAGCGUGGGGAGCAAACAGGAUUA